Molecule: ribosomal RNA, 1372 nt
Filed under: marine metagenome
Description: bacterial LSU rRNA
Rfam family: Bacterial large subunit ribosomal RNA
Source: RNAcentral
UGGCUUGGAAGCAGCCAUUCAUUUAAAGAGUGCGUAACAGCUCACUGGUCGAGAGAUCCUGCACGGAAAAUAAUCGGGCAUCAAACUAUGAACCGAAGUUCUAGAUUCAAUAUUUAUUUAUUGAGUGGUAGGGGAGCAUUGAAAUCUGCAUCGAAGGUGUGGCGCGAGCCAUGCUGGAGCGAUUUCAAAAGAAAAUGUAGGUAUAAGUAACGAUAAAAGUAGUGAAAAACUACUUCGCCGAAAGUCUAAGGUUUCCUGAUCAACGUUAAUCGGAUCAGGGUUAGUCUGGUCCUUAGGAAAACCCGAAAGGGGCAUCUGAUGGAAAGCUAGUUAAUAUUCUAGCACCUACUAUGCAUUAAAAGUGACGCAGGGACGUGGUUGUUACGAACAGACGGAUGUUCGUUGAGUGGAACCUUCGGGGGAAGCGAAACAAUAAAAUCCCUGCCAAGAAAAGCGAGCAUAGCAGCCAGUACCGGAAUCCGACACAGGUAGACGGGAUGAGUAUUCUAAGGCGCUCGGGUGAGCCGCGGAGAAGGAACUAGGCAAAUUAAUGCUGUAACUUCGGGAUAAAGCAUACCGCAGUGAUGCGGUCACAGUAAAUAGGUACAACCAACUGUUUAACAAAAACACAGGGCCCUGCAAAAACGUAAGUUGACGUAUAGAGCCUGAAACCUGCCCGGUGCUGGAAGGUUAAGGAAGGGUGUUCGUCGCAAGACAAAGCUCCUGACUGAAGCCCCAGUAAACGGCGGCCGUAACUAUAACGGUCCUAAGGUAGCGAAAUUCCUUGUCGGGUAAGUUCCGACCUGCACGAAUGGUCUAAUGAGUUGUACACUGUCUCCUCCGCGAGCCCGGUGAAAUUGUAGUAUCGGUGAAGAUGCCGGUUACCCGCCACGGGACGGAAAGACCCCGUGAACCUUCACUACAACUUUGCAUUGAUUUUGAAUUACGGAUGUGUAGGAUAGUUGGGACGCUAUGAAGCCUUGCCGCCAGGUAGGGUGGAGCGGUCGUUGAAAUACCAACCUUCUUUGAUUUAGGAUCUAAUCCCUAACGGGAGACAGUGCAUGGUGGGUAGUUUGACUGGGGUGGUCGCCUCCUAAAAAGUAACGGAGGCUCGCAAAGGUACCCUCAGUACGGUUGGUAAUCGUACGUAGAGCGCAUUAGUAAAAGGGUGCUUGACUGUGAGACAAACAAGUCGAGCAGGAGCGAAAGCUGGCUAAAGUGAUCCGGUGUUUCUGCAUGGAAGGGACAUCGCUCAAAGGAUAAAAGGUACUCCGGGGAUAACAGGCUGAUCUUACCCAAGAGCUCAUAUCGACGGUAAGGUUUGGCACCUCGAUGUCGGUUCGUCACAUCCUGGGGCUGGAGAAGGUCCCAA